Long non-coding RNA from Suricata suricatta (meerkat), 732 nucleotides. RefSeq lists it as uncharacterized. The record is from RefSeq and is a predicted model, not a curated record. The transcript is spliced from 3 exons. NCBI's taxonomy places the organism in Eukaryota, Metazoa, Chordata, Mammalia, Carnivora, Herpestidae.
AGUGGCCAAGCUCUAUUCAUAGCAAUACUGCCAAACCAAACACCCAAACUUUCCACAAUUUUAUACUGAAACCCUAUAUGUUCCAAGAUAAUGAAUACUUCCAUAGCAACAAAAGUCUGACAAUAAACUGUUACCUUGAUUUUCACAUUUUCAAAGAAAAAUCCCUCAAUGGCAACCAAAACCAGAAGUCUCAGUAAUGAAUGUACAAUAAUGGCAACAAGCAAUCUCUACACUCAACAUGGAGCUCGAACUCAUAACCCCAAGAUCAAGAGUCAACCAACUGGCUUUAACAACUGAGGCAGACGGGUGUUCUAGGAUCACUACUUUCAUAAAAAGACCCCGCCAAGUUCCCUGGUCCUCUCUGCUGUGUGAGGAUGCAACAGGAAGUCUGCAAGCCAGAAGAGGGCCUCACCGGAACCCAAAUAUGCUGGUACUAUGAUCUUGGACUUCCAGCCUCCAGAACUGUGAAAAUUAAUUUCUGUUGUUUAUAAGCCACUCGGUGUGUGGUAUUUUGUUACAGCAGCUCAAAGGACGCUGAUAAGGACCCAGCCCCUUCACUCUACUCCUUCUCCGAUAACUUUGCUCCAAGCCACUACCAUUUCUUGCCUCAGUUAAUUCAACAGCCUCAUAACCAAUCUCUCUGCCACCACCUUCCCUCCCUACAGUCUAAUGUCAACACCACUGCCAGUGAUCCUGCUAAAUGUGAAAUAUCACUCUGCUGCUCAAAAUCCU